UACAGAGGGGGAAAGCGUUAUUAGGAAUUAUUGGGCGUAAAGGGCGCGUAGGCGGUUUCUUAAGUCAGAUGUGUAAUCCCCGAGCUUAACUUGGGAACUGCAUCUGAGACUGGGAGGCUAGAGUACUGGAGAGGGUGGUGGAAUUCCUCGUGCAGCGGUGAAAUGCGUAGAGAUGAGGAGGAACACUAGUGGCGAAGGCGGCCACCUGGACAGUAACUGACGCUGAGGCGCCAAAGUGUGGUUAGCAAACAGG
This 253-nucleotide ribosomal RNA is filed under the name uncultured bacterium. Its description in RNAcentral is "partial 16S ribosomal RNA". It matches the Rfam family "Bacterial small subunit ribosomal RNA", at positions 524 to 776 of the family's 1533-position model. The record is from RNAcentral.